This is a long non-coding RNA of Amaranthus tricolor (Joseph's coat), 577 nucleotides long. RefSeq lists it as uncharacterized. The transcript is spliced from 2 exons. The record is from RefSeq and is a predicted model, not a curated record. NCBI's taxonomy places the organism in Eukaryota, Viridiplantae, Streptophyta, Magnoliopsida, Caryophyllales, Amaranthaceae.
UUUUUCUAAUUAUAUGACUUAUAUGGCUAUCUAUUGCUUUUACAUCUACAAUGAUGCCAUCUUUUUGUUGCAGGUUUAGCGGCUGCACAAGAGAAUGCUAAGAGAAGGGAUAGUUCUCAGGAUGGUCAACCCAGUGUAAUUUACAGGUUCUGUUGUUUGUCUGAUUCCUGGUUUUCAUGAGGUAUUGUGAAACACAACAUGCAGGGAAAUUCAUAUCAAGUGCAGAUCAUCAUAGAAGCUGAUUGUCAGAUGAUGCUAGCAAAAUCUGGGAUCAGACGAGAUGAAGGAAGAAAAACCGGUGUCAGAUAGGGGAAAAACAAAAUUUAUUAAAUAACAAGGGUAUACGCAUAUGUCCCUUAGAAUUUGCUACAUUACGCAAAUCAAGGUGAGCUUUUUAAGAGUAGUGUAGCUAAUUCAAAGGAAUGGGAGUGUGUAAGAUAUCCUUGUACAUACUCGUCCUCGAUAUGAUCCUUUCAACGUAGCUGUGACCUUGUCGAAGUCCGAGUUGAUACAACGCAGAAAAUGGUCCGAUGGAUUUCUUUUACUUGGACAUGGGAACCUGGCUUCUGCAAAGAAC